RNAcentral lists this long non-coding RNA (3917 nucleotides) under Heterocephalus glaber (naked mole-rat). Its description in RNAcentral is "lncRNA (ENSHGLG00000049480.1)". Lineage: Eukaryota; Metazoa; Chordata; Mammalia; Rodentia; Bathyergidae. The record is from RNAcentral.
UGGUUUUAGAAUGCUUGCAGGACCUUGGGGAGGUAAAGUCCAAUAGCAGCAAAUUAGCAAAAGAGUGCUGUGGGUUAGUGCCUAGCACUGCUCUGAUUUAGGUGUUCGCCUUUAAAAUUAUUCUUAAAGAAACCUUUUCAGCUAGGUAUGCCUGAGAAUGAAGGUGUUCCCUACCUAAGCCUCCUCUUUUUCUUCCUUCCCUCCUUCCCUCCUUCCCUCCUUCCCUCCUUCCCUCCUUCCUUCCUUCCCUCCCUCCUUUCUUUCCUUGCAGUAGUACUGGGGCUCAAACCUUGAAUGUUACGCAAAUGAUCUACCAUCCGUAGCCUCCCUGUGCAUCCCCAGGACUAUCUUCCGUGCCUGUUUUGUCGUUCCCAGAUGUAGAGAGAGGAUGUGAGAAUCUCUGAGAUAUAAGAAUGAUCAAGGGUAGGGCCAUGUUUUAAUCACACAGAAUGUCUUUUCUUGAGUUUGGGGGAUGGAACCUAGGGCCUCUGCAUGCCAGGGAAGCCUUCUACCACUGGUUACACCCCCAGCCCUAAUCGCUAACGGCCAGGUUCCAGGUUCUGGCUCAUCCACGUGACAACCGAUGGCCCCACCUUGACACCACCCCGUCUUUCUCUGUCUGGGCCUCAGGAGCUCUAGGAGUUAGCAGACACUGACCACACCUUCUUGUAAUUUAUUUGCUCCCCUCUCCCAGCCCCUAACUGCAACCUCAGUUGCCUUUUCUCAGCCAGAAUUCCUUCCCGACACCCUUGGUCACUCUGUUCCCGCGAAGUUCAGCUCAGAUUCGCCCUCAGCUCACUCACUGUGUCCCCAAGACAAUCCUCCCAAACCCGUUCACGGUGUUGUGUUCUUAGGGCUCAUCACGACCCUUGCUCUCCCGUUCUCAAAGGAUCGAGUUAAUUUUCCCCUUUUUCCUAUUGUUCUGCCUAAUGAUUGGAUUUAUGGUGAGAGAAACUCAUGUUUCAGUUCAUUUUAGUCCACUUCAUAGUCACAUCAGCCCUGGGCAGUGGGUAGAGGAGGUACAGGAGCAGACUGGAGUCCAGCACAGGGAGAGUCUUUGAAACACUGGACAUCUAAGGGACAGGGUUCGAGGCCCCACGCAGGUGGCCAGGAGUAGCAGCACAAGGGGCAAGGUGACCAGAGUCUGUCUGAGCCGUGUGUGUUGCCAGGCUGAGAGGGAGACCGUACGUGUGGGUUGAUUCUAACCCUGACGGAGGGUCUUCACAUGGCCUUUGAGCCCACUGCUCAGCUGCCCUUGGCCCACCGGUGUCUGCUCCUGCAGCCACGCUUCCCUGUGCACCGUUCCUCAGGGCAGCGGGCAGCCAUUAAACGGAAGAGGAAGCACUGAGUUUCUGGAGAAUGUCAGUCCUGAGACCAACCCUGGACAUAAUGCUUAAUCCUAUGAUGGCACGGUUGAGUUUUAACAGAGUUUUUAUUUAUGUGUUUAUUUAUUUAUUUUGAGACAGGAUCCUGCUCUGUAGUCCAAGCUGGACCCAAACUCAUGACCCUUCUGUCUCAGCCUCCCAAGUGCUGGGAUUAAAGGAGGUUACUACCCUUCUCUAAACAGAAUUUUCAGACUCUUUUUCCUCACCUUUAAUUUCCUUCUUCCUCAUAAAUGCAACAUCACUGUGUCCUUGCCUUAUGUUUUGCUUUGGUUCCUUUCAUUCAGGGAGUGUGGAAAGUCAUCCAUGGUCACGGGAGCCAGCCCACGAAGGAGCAGGUUGCCUUCCCUUCUGUCUGUAGUUCUCGCCCAGCGCUGCCCGGUGUGGUGUCUGGUGCAGUGUGGGUGUGCAAUGUACACCCCCUAAAGGAGUGCACCAAGCCUCUCCCGACCUGGGCAAGGUCCUAGGGCACAGGACAGCCCCUCUUCCUGGGUGGCUUCUUCCGGUGCUCUCUGCUCGCCCGGCACCUGCCUGCCCUUGGGAUACAACACACAGGCGGGGCUCUCUCAGAAGGACUGAGGGGGACGCCGCGUUGUCACUGUGUUGGAGGCUGGGUUAAGCCCGACCCUGGCGGUAAAAGGCAUGGAAGGGUCUUUCCAGGCUCCCAGGGACCUGAAGGGAAGCAGAGGGCAGGGGCAGUGGUGCUCAGGGCCCUCCCAGGAAGCCCUGGGGGCUGCGGUGAGUGGACAGGAAGGGCGGGUUCAGCUUGCUGAAGCGAGGGAGGUCGGGUCUGAGGGGAAGUGUGCAGUGGAUCACGUGGGGCACAGGCCGUCCCUGGGGGUGGGGGCUAGGGUGGCCCCUGAGGUUCCCUCCCUGACUCUUUAGGUGGCCUGCUCUGUGGAGCCCAGCGGAGUGCAGGGUGCACUGGUGAUUCCACAGAGGAGGAGCCUGGCCCAGAGCAUCCAGUCUGGCUCUGCGCACCUAGCAACCUCUGAGUAGCUGCCCCGAAGGGAGGUUUGCGUUUCUGAUUUCCCUUCCAGCUUCUCCCCGCCCCCCCGCACCCCAGCUGUGGUUGGCAUGCCUUUGCGUGUCAGGCUGCGUGGAUCCUCUCCAGCAUCAGCCUCUGUCGCCUCUCACCCUGUCAUCCCGUGCCCCUGCGCGUGCCCAGCCCACAUCCCAGCGUGCCCGCCCGCUCCUGCUCCGGCCCUGGCUCCCCAUCACAUCAGGGCUUCACCCCUCCCACUUUUACCCAUCUCGGCCCUCCCUGCGGUGCCCUUGCCAAUGCCACGCCUGUCUCUUGGCCUCUCCCUCCUCCGCCUGCAGGCCCCUGGCUUCCCUGGCAUCCCCCUCCUGCCUCUGACCCUGGGCAGGCUGUUGGUGCAGCCAGCCCAGAAGGGACCACUCAUGCAGCCCUCUCCCUCCCUCCCGCUCUGCACACUGGCCCAGAUCUGCACAGAAUCCGGUCACGUGCCUAACACAGCCCGAACUUUUCACAGUGUGGAUCUUUGGCCGUAGCCAGGGCUCAGGCCCACAGGCUCAGCGUGGCAUCCUGGGCCUGUCGGAUGCAGGUUCCCCCCUCCGACCGCUGGGUGCCGAGUUCCAGGCCUGUGUGAUUACUGCUGGCUCCGCCCCACGGCUCACACUCACUGUUCUUGUCCGGUACCUCUGCCUUCCUGAAGACCCCGAGAGGGCAAGAGAGCCUGUAGGUGGAAGCUCCUGAAUGCUGCUUCUGCAUACUCCAGGCUGUUUGAUGAGCAGGCAGGGUAACCCAGGGCCUGGCCUGCACCAGGCCGUGAUCCUCCCCAGCGCCACAAAGCAGAGCAAAACAAGCCACCCUCAGUGCACAGUGCUGCCCGCAGCCCUUUCGGGGACAGUCCCUCGGCUCAGCUCCAGCCUUCGGCCCAAGGUGCAGGCUCUCAAGAGGUUCUAGACUCCUUGUCAUCCAGAUCCAGCAGCAUGUGUCCUAGAAGGGAAGUACGGGACCUCUAGAGAUCUGAACCCACUUUGCUCGAGUGCUUCUUCACCCUAGACGGAGGGCACCUGGGAGGGUGACCCCCGAGGGGUCUUGCUUUGGCUUCUCCGAGGGGCAGUGGUGGAGUGGGAUGAACGUAGUGGGAGCAGGUGUGGCUGAGUGUGCGGUGUGGGCUGCAGGGCAGGGUGAGCAGCGGUGCUCCCUUCCCUCUACCUCUGAACCCAGGUGACAGGAGCACCUCCCCCUUGGAGUGGGGAAACUGCCAGUGGCUGCAGAACACAGCCGGAGAACAGGGCCCUCCGAUGCCUCUGCCUGUCAGGCCUGGCUGCAUGCUGGGGAGGGGAGUGUGCCUGUUGGUGGCAUCUGCAUUCCCAGGUGAGGGGCAACCUCCACUGAGGCCUGACCAGAAGAAACAGAACUGCAGACCCGGACCCUGGGGUCUGGGGUCAACAUGGGGAGUGGCUCAACACAGUUCCAGCCCUGGAGUUGUUUACAAUAUGUUAUUUGAAAUUUUAACACGAUCAGAGUUAAAUCACGACUAUUAAACACUCCCUUGAUCCAGG